This 537-nucleotide ribosomal RNA is filed under the name fungal sp. Its description in RNAcentral is "eukaryotic LSU rRNA". The stretch from base 136 to 289 matches the Rfam family "5.8S ribosomal RNA". The record is from RNAcentral. Lineage: Eukaryota; Fungi.
CCAUACCCCUGUGUACUACCUUAAUGUUGCCUCGGCGGAUCAUCCCGCGCCCCGUAAAACGGGACGGCCCGCCAGAGGACCCAAACUCUAAUGUUUCUUAUUGUAACUUCUGAGUAAAACAAACAAAUAAAUCAAAACUUUCAACAACGGAUCUCUUGGUUCUGGCAUCGAUGAAGAACGCAGCAAAAUGCGAUAAGUAAUGUGAAUUGCAGAAUUCAAUGAAUCAUCAAAUCUUUGAACGCACAUUGCGCCCGCUGGUAUUCCGGCGGGCAUGCCUGUUCGAGCGUCAUUUCAACCCUCAAGCCCCCGGGUUUGGUGUUGGGGAUCGCAGCUUGUGUGUUGGGCUCCGGCCCCCCGGGGACGGUUCCGAAAGGCAACGGCGGCACCGAGUCCGGUCCUCGAGCGUAUGGAGCUUUGUCACCCGGUCUGUAGGCCCGGCCGGCUCCAGCCGACAACCAAUCAUCCUUUUUUCAGGUUGACCUCGGAUCAGGUUGGGAUACCCGCUGAACUUGAGAAUAUCAAUAACUUAAAGGAAUC